GCCCUCUCAGACUGACUUAAAAGUCCCGACCGAGCGCCUCCUGCCUCUAUAUACUGAGCGGGGGGGUUGUUACACGGGGGAGGCAAGAACCGCCGAAUGGGCCCAGAGCCCGAGUGGGUCGGCCCCGCAUACUAAAAAAAGGGAGAAACGGACAACGGAAAUUUCUCUCAGCUCGCGGAGUCUCCUCCCUUCCUUCCGCCCUCUCCCUCCGAGCGUUUCCACCACAAACGAAACAGCUGAAGAAGAAGGAAGAAACAAAAAAGUCCCUCAACCGCAAACCUAAUUUGUUUCCCGGCCUUUGGGGCGCAUGCGCGGCCAACAGUCUGGCGAAGGAGGAAAGAUGAUGGCGACGAGUGCCUAUUUACAGUUUUAUUUUACUUACCUCAGCUGACGAAGCCAAAGCUCUCCUUGACUGCAGGAAUUCAAGCGGCGCCUCUCCGCGGCCUCCCACCUCCACCCUUCAAUGGACUGGCUGGUUCCACAUAACGUUUGGCGGUGUUUUUUUCCAUGGGUUUUAGUCUUUUCUUCGCUUGUUCGUGUAUUAAAUAGUGAGCUCUUAUUGCUGCUCCGUCCGUAAUUGGAGCGUGAUUAAUACAGCGCCCCCAGCUUAGGCGAGGAGGUAUUCAUUUUCCAGGCCAAGUUCUUAGGGUGACCAUCUUGUGCCCUGUGUGAUAGAGGACAGUCCACCCUUUGAAGGGCUGUCAGCUCCGAAGGCCUGUUUAAAGAUAAAAACCAUAAUAAGAGGACAGAGCAGGUGGGCUUUGAAGCUGCUCCUCCACAGUGAGCGCUUGGACAGCAGCCUGAGCAGGUAACCUGGUCGCACUUUUCCCCGCUAUGCUACCUUUACUUUUUCUGUGACUCGGAGAGUACUGAAUUUAGCCCUUGAGCAGCAGGAUCACAAACUGGAGGAAGAGGAUGUUAUACCAUCUGAAGAUGGGACAUCAUUCUCUGAAGGAACAUUCCCGCCAUCUGCUCGGAACUAUGGGAUGAACUGUCUGUGAUAGAUUUUGGUCUGGGUAUCCUGGUUGCUGCAGGACAAAAUGCAGAGGGCUGGAAGGAGAUUAAAGGGUGCUUGCACAGGAAAAAUUGUGCGUGGGGAAGGAGAUUCUUAACCCUUCCCCUGCCUGCUACUUUCCUAUUGCAUCCCUUUCAGUUGCUUUCCUCACCAUGGAGGUUCCCUAUGCUUGCCACAUUGCAGGGGAAGUGGCCAGGAGAGGGAGUUGCAGGUGGAAAGCAGAGGCUGGGGGAAGUGUUAAGCUCCCCCUUCCCUCAUUGUUACAUCUCCCCUACAAAUGGCACCCUCUCCCCACAGCUUUGCAGCUGCUUGAUAGUGACCAGUCAACCCUCAGCAACGGCUGGGACAGAAAGACUCUCCUUUCAUGAAGGGACCCUAAUUGCACUGGCUGUGCAAGCAAUCCAUUAAAAAAAGUCUUCAUCUCCUUCUCCCAACAUGCCUCUGCCUUCCAAAGAAAAUGUUUAUUUGUGUUUUGGGAAGCAAAACAAAGAACAGUAGGGCUAGUAGGCUGGCCCUACCAUUAGGCAGAGUAAGACAUCCGCCUACGACAGCAAUUACUAACGGGAGAAGAGUGGUGGACAGAGCUCUGGGUAUGUGCACCACAUACAGCCUCCCCUGCAACCCCUCACCUAGCUUGUUGCCCUCAGGUACAACGGAGGAUGUCUCAUCACCAGUGUUGAAAAUAAAUCUCAACUACCAGUCCAGUCAGAUUCUAAUGGAAUCUCAUCCUUUGCCUCAGUCAGCAAAAUGUCUUGGGCCAACUCUACAAUCCACACUAGUAUCACCUUAUCUGCUCCUCCAGGAGGAGGAAGACAAUACCAAUCUUACAAUGCCUACAAUAAAUACAGAAGAUGUGCUUUCCUGAAUAAUCCCUGGAGAAACACCUAAUAAUAAUUGGCAGUAUUCAAGAAAACACAGCAAGUACUGAGGCUGGGCUAAGCUACAUGCCUGAAGAUUCUGAAAAGACAUCAGCUGCUCUCUUCUUGCUAAGAUGACUUUACCAGUUUGAACAGGAAACAUGAAACCAAGAGCCAGUGUGUCAUAAGAAGAAAAACAGGUUCUCCACUGGACUAGUGACUAAGGCAGCCAGGACAUACUUGUAACUGAUCCAUCAAGGAGCAUUUUCCUGAGCUGCAUCAGUGAGUUCAGCGUAAGAACACCAACAGCUGGAUUUAUUGGCCACUUAUAAUUAUAUCAAUCUGGUUUCGUGUGAUCACCAUGCAUACAUCUGAAUAUAUUCUUGAUACAGGCAUACAAAUGUCACAUUUUCUAUUAGUUGUGAAAUUACCUUAACAGUUUUGAUCCCCCCCCAACCUAGAGUGAAUGAAUCGCAAAUGCUUUCUAUAAUAACAAAUAAUGUUUGCAUUCUGCAAGCAUAAGUGAUCAUUCCUGGAAGAAUCUCCUCUCCCAAAUUCAAGUCUUAUUCAGACAUGUGAGGAAGCAAAAGAACUUCCACAGCCCUACAAAACAUUGCCCUGUUGGCUACCUUCAGGAUCAGAGGCAGCCUCUGAAGAGGCUGAGGUUGAAGAAUAGUAUGCCUACAUCUUCUGCUUCUGUGCUUCCCAUAGGGAUCUGUGGAUGUUGAACUAGUUCCGUAUGCAAUGACUUCCUGUGCAAACAGAGUCUACUGCGGCGGCUGCUCUGAUUCAUUCAGCAAUUUCACAAGCCUGUGUGUGUGUGACAGCGUGUGGGUGUGACAGAGAGAGAGACCUUCCUGUUUCCAAUCCUCCCUUGGGAACCAGCUGAUUAAAGAGAAGAGUUACUGAUUGUGUUCCUACUCAGCUGUCUCCCAGGAACAAGAAAGACAAUGUAGGAGGGUCUGAGCAUAAUAUUGCCAUUGUUACAAUAUUGCCAAUAUUGCCCAACUGUAGUAGUGGCUUCUUGGGUUAUAAAUGGUUGCAAGUUUCCUUUAUAUUCUCUAUAAUGGCGUAAAUGAACUUGAGAGAUUAAAGGCCUGAACACGGUUGCAUCAGCAAGGAAGAAUGCACAGUGGGGCUUUAACCACUGUGCCGGUUGAAAUGUCACAACCUGUGAUGCUGUGAGCCUACCAAGAUCAUCACAUAAGAGCUACAGGAUGGGGAUGGAAUGGUAGACAUCAUCAAUAAUGGCUGGUGCUGCAGUAGUAAUAGCUACAUGCUAGUUCAGGGUUGCAGGAGCCCAGAAUGAUAGUCCUGGGUGAUUUCAAUGUCCAUGCUGAGGCUGCCUCUAGUGUUCCAGCUCGGGAUGUCAUGGCCUCCGUGACAACCAUGGAACUAUCUCAAGUUGUCACUGGGCUGACAUUUAGGGCAGGGCACACCCUCGAUUUCAUUUUUGCUCCAGAUGGAGGAAAGGGUGGUCAGGAGAUGGGGUGUGUGUGAAUGUCAUCCCAUUGUCAUGGUCAGACCACUUGUUUGUUUAUUUAUUUAUUAAAUUUAUAUCCUGCCCUUCUUCCCAGAAGAAGCCCAGGGCAUCAUAUUUAAAAGCCAGUAGUUGAAACUCAGUUCCUGGCAACGGCUGUUUUCAUUAUUUCAAAAUUUGGUGUACAUAGUGGUAAACUGCUUUCAAACUUGUAUGUAUGUCAAGAUUCUGUGAUUCCAUAACAUGUCAACUUCUGAAUUAGAGAUUUGUAUAAACUUUUUGCAUUUUGCAUUGCUUAAAUGGCUUUCUGCUAUACAUGGUGGUGACUUCCACACAUCCUAGUGUAACAUAGGAAGCACUUUCAGAACAUGGGUGGCAAAUUAGCUGCCUCUAAACUUUAAAAAUCAAAAUUCCCUGUUACAGGUGAAGAUCAUCUCAAGACAAAAAUGAGCAUUAGAAUUUUAAGAUAGGAUUACAAAAUGAUACAGGAUACAGUGAACACAGAAAUGAAGGAAAACAAUAAGCUGGCCCUAUCUGGCACAGCAAGACUUCUAUUCAGUACUAAGUCCCUCCUAAAGCAUAGAGUGCUAAGAGGAGCUUCUGUCCAGCUGCUUCUGGACUCAUCCACAUGGCGAUUUAGUGUGCGUCCGAUGCUACUUCCAUCCUCUUGUAAUUCGCAUGGUUUACAUGAUGUUGCAGGCAAGGAGAAGCUAUCAGAGUUUCCCCCUUUAAAUAUAUAUUAACUCAAUCCACCGAUAAUGCGAAAAGGAAAGGAAAAACUGUCUCAGCUGCACUGCGCUUCUCCGUGUAGGCGGUUUGCUUCAAUUUUUUUUAGUGGGCAGGCUCUUUUAUGCCCCAUCGCCUGCUCUCUCUCUCUGUUGCCUGCAAAAGCUGCUGCAGCCGCUGCCUACUUUGCCUUUCACUCACUCCCCCAUGUAGUUAGUUUCAUAUAGUUUCAUGUCAGUUGCACCCCCACACUCUCUAGGCAGAGGCAUGUAAUUGACAAGAAACAAUGAAACUGACAAAAAAACCCUCCCCAUCUCCAUUAGCAAUAUGGAUAUUCCGGAGGGAGUAAACAUGUAAACUUGGGGGUGUGGCCACAAGGAAACAGUGACACUAAACCUUUCCAGAGGAACGCCUACAUGUGUGAAUAGAAAACAGCACAUUGGAAGCUACCAUUGAACAAGAAAUUUGGACCUUGAAAAGCUAUUGCGAUGGUAAAAGCAGCUUCUUUAGUAUGAAAUUAAGCUCCCGUGUGGAUAAGCCCUCUCUCUCUCUUGGAAAUAUUUUCUCUGUUCUUUUAUGACCUCUAGCAACUGAAGGUUUAUUCCUUCCACACAUGUAAACACAAAAGCCUUUAGCACCAUCUCCUUAUGUGCCAAAUAUUCUUAGGCUCUCCCCUUCUGGGACCAAUGUAGAAUUCAUUUCCCAAGGAAAUGCCCCAUCAUCUGGUAGCAUUGUGUGCAACUGCUCUUGAUAGCAGAUCCAUGACCAACCAAUGCGUCCUUCAUUCUAUGAGCCCUGUCCACAAGCGAGAGGAGUUAAAGGCUGUUAUGAAAAUAUAUAUGCAGAGGUGCUCAGCUGUCUGAGCUGUGUGUGUGCCAGUGUGUGUAUUUACCUAAGAAGCAGGCUUUUGCCCUGCAUUUAGAUCACUGAGACUUAAGACUAAGUAAAAUAAGAAAAGCUACUUUAUUUAUAGAAAUACAUAGUAGAUAUGAAAGGCAUACCUAGUUCUAACUAACUAAGUAAGUUGGAGGUGCAUCAAAUCCAAAGGUGUAUCACUGAACACUAAAGUCAGGAUCAUUCAGACCAUGGUAUUCCCGAUCUCUAUGUAUGGAUGUGAAAGUUGGACAGCGAAAAAAAUGGAUAAAAGAAAAAUAAUUUGAAAUGUGGUGUUGAAGGAGAGCUUUGUGCAUACCAUGGACUGUGAAAAAGACAAAUAACUGGGUGUUAGAACAAAUUAAACCAGAAUUGUCACCAGAAGCUAAAAUGACGAAACUGAGGUUAUUGUACUUUGGACACAUCAUGAGAAGACAGGAUUCAUUAGAAAAGACAAUAAUGCUGGGAAAAACAGGAGUAGAAAAAGAAGAAGAACAAACAAGAGAUGGAUUGAUUCCAUAAAGGAAGCCGCAGACCUGAACUUACAAGAUCUGACAAAUGGUGGUUCAUGACAGAUGCUAUUGGAGGUCACUGAGUCAUAGGGUCAUCAUAAGUCAUAAUCGACUUGAAGGCACAUAACAACAACAACAACAAAGUUGGAGGCACAAUGCCCAGACUUGGGUAUUGCCCUUAUGGCUCAGAAGAGAGAGCAAAGACAAAUAUGUUUCCUCUCUCCUCCAACAGUCGAAGAAGAAGUCGAAGGAGGGGCAGGUCAGUUUCCCCGAGCAUAUCAGUUUACAACAGAAGGAAGUUAGGUAGAGAACAGCACAGGUAAAGGUAGGCAAGCCUAGCCAGUUGGAGGACCUUAAGGCUAUCUUCCUUCUGGAAUACACACAAAAGAACGCAAACAUGAGUUGCUCUUGCUCCACUUCCAACAAAGGUGUGGCCCUGCCCUUAAUGUUACGUGGCUGGGAAUGGGCUUCCGACUGGGCUGUUGAGGGUGAAAAUCUGCCUGUGCCACAUGCUGGAGAGCGGGCAGGGCAUGGGGAUUGCUUCCUAAAGAAGUUUAGAUUUACAGCUCCAAUCCUCUCCUCUAUAUGAAGUCUUUGGGAGCAGUCAUCAAGAGAUUUGGGGCAAGGUGUCAGCAGUACACUGAUGAUACCCAGCUCUAUUUUUCUGUAACAUCUGAAUUGGGAGAAGCCAUGCAAACCCUGGACUGGUGCCUGGUGGUGUGCUGGAUGAGGACCAAUAAACUGAAUCUGAAUCCCGCAAGACAGAGGUGCUGUGGGUUGGUGUUUCCCGAGUUCGGAUAAUUGGUCAAUUGUCUGCUUUGGAUGGGGUCAUACUCCCUCUGAAAGAGCAGGUCCAUAGUCUGGGGGUGCUUCUGGAUUCAUCUUUGUUGCUAGAGGCCUAGGUGACCUCAGUGGCUAGAAGUGCCUUUUGCCAGCUUCAGCUGAUAAGACAGCUGCGGCCAUUUCUUGACUGAGAUAGCCUGCCCACUGUUGUCCAUGCACUCGUAACCUCCUGGCUGGAUUAUUGUAAUGCGCUCUGUGUGGGGCUGCCCUUGAGGCUGGUCUGGAAGCUGCAGCUGGUACAAAAUGCGGCAGUGUGACUGCUCACUGUGGCGGGGUAUCGCCAAUCUGUUACCCCGCUGCUGAAAGAAUUGCACUGGCUGCCUAUUAGCUACCGGGCUAAGUUCAAGGUUCUGGUUUUCGUGUACAAAGCCCUAUACAUCUUGGGACCAGGAUACCUGCAUGAUCAUCUUACUCCUUAUAUACCCAGUUGAUCACUGCACUCUGCAGGUGAAGGGCCUCCUACAAAUACCAUCUUAUCAGGAGGUCCGUUCCACACAACACUGGAAGUGGACCUUUAGUGUUGUGGCACUGAAACUCUGGAAUUCCCUCCCCUUAAAUAUUAAAUAUUAGACAGGCACAAUCUCUGUUAUCUUUUGGGUAUCUACUGAAAACCUUCCUCUUUCAACAAGCCUUUUAAGUAGAAACCUUAUCCCAGUCUGCAUCUGUUGUGGAAUUGCUUUUUAAGAUGUUUUUAAAGUUUGUUUUCAAGAUGUUUUGUU
Rhineura floridana is the source of this 7025-nucleotide long non-coding RNA. RefSeq lists it as uncharacterized. The record is from RefSeq and is a predicted model, not a curated record. The transcript is spliced from 4 exons. NCBI's taxonomy places the organism in Eukaryota, Metazoa, Chordata, Lepidosauria, Squamata, Rhineuridae.